This 497-nucleotide ribosomal RNA is filed under the name uncultured bacterium. Its description in RNAcentral is "partial 16S ribosomal RNA". It matches the Rfam family "Bacterial small subunit ribosomal RNA", at positions 28 to 507 of the family's 1533-position model. The record is from RNAcentral.
GAUGAACGCUGGCGGCAUGCCUAAUACAUGCAAGUCGAGCGGACAGACGAGGACCUUGCCUGUCUGACGUUAGCGGCGGACGUGAUACAAACACGCGGACACCCUACCUAUAAAACUGGGAUCACUUCGGGAACUCGUACCUAAUACCGGCUAAUAUAUAGAACCGCAUGGCUCCAUAGCGAACGACGGUGUUGCUGUCGCUUGUAGAUGGGGCCGCGCCGCAUUAGCUAGUUGGUAAGGUAACGGCUUACCAAGGCAACGAUGCGUAGCCGGCCUGAGAGGAUGAUCAGCCACACUGGGACUGAGACACGGCCCAGACUCCUACGGGAGGCAGCAGUGGGGAAUCUUCCGCAAUGGGCGAAAGCCUGACGGAGCAACGCCGCGUGAAUGAUGAAGGUCUUCGGAUUGUAAACUGCUGUUAUUAGGAAAGAACAGCUGUGUAAGUAUAAAGGGGCGUCAUGACGGUACCGAAUCAAAAAGCAACGGCUAACUACGUG